AUUGAACGCUGGCGGCGUGCUUAACACAUGCAAGUCGUGCGGUAACAGGCGUAGCAAUACGUGCUGACGAGCGGCGAACGGGUGCGUAAUACAUGGGAAUCUGCCUUUUAGUGGGGAAUAGCCCGGCGAAAGCCGGGCUAAUGCCGCAUAAGAUCUUCGGAUGAAAGCGGGGGAUCGUAAGACCUCGCGCUGAUAGAUGAGCCCAUGCCGGAUUAGCAGUUGGUGAGGUAACGGCUCACCAAGGCGACGAUCCGUAGCUGGUCUGAGAGGACGGCCAGCCACACUGGGACUGAGACACGGCCCAGACUCCUACGGAGGCAGCAGUGGGGAAUAUUGGACAAUGGGCGCAAGCCUGAUCCAGCCAUGCCGCGUGAGUGACGAAGGUCUUCGGAUUGUAAAG
Molecule: ribosomal RNA, 400 nt
Filed under: uncultured bacterium
Lineage: Bacteria
Description: bacterial SSU rRNA
Rfam family: Bacterial small subunit ribosomal RNA
Source: RNAcentral